Molecule: transfer RNA, 75 nt
Filed under: Methanobacteriota archaeon
Lineage: Archaea; Methanobacteriati; Methanobacteriota
Also listed under: 2 other names
Description: Euryarchaeota archaeon (marine metagenome) tRNA-Glu
Rfam family: tRNA
About the family: Transfer RNA (tRNA) molecules are approximately 80 nucleotides in length. Their secondary structure includes four short double-helical elements and three loops (D, anti-codon, and T loops).
Source: RNAcentral
GCUCGCGUGGUGUAGUCCGGCCCAUCAUUGCAGGUUUUCAUCCUGUCUACCCGGGUUCGAAUCCCGGCGCGAGCA